GCCUCACUAGCCCAGGGAAAGGGAACCGAACGCGCCGUUGUCACCAGGCGCGUUGCUAAGGCGUCGGUUGGGGGCGGGGCUUGUGGAGGGCGAAGGACGCAGUUCAUGUGACCUCAUCCCGUAGAUAUUCGCUCAUUCGCGAUUUGGAAUUAAUGACAGAGCUCUCACCAAUAGAAAUCGCGGUGGUUGCUGCACUGAUCCUGCUUAGACAAGGAAACUGAGAAUCCUGCAGAAGUGAAAUAAAUUUCUCAAGAUCAUACAGAGAACUAGUGACUGGACUGGGAAGGCCAAGCCCAAGUCCCCUCAUUCUUCCUGUUCUAGUGUCCUUCUACACCUUGUUUCAACUUCUGGUUUAGAGGCAUAUAGUCACCCUGGUGCUUUUAGAUAAAUGUAUGUAGCUGAAAGUUACAAGCCCAAGUCAAUAUACAGAGAGAAAAUGUUGGUCAGGACCAGGAGCCAGCAAACUACAGCCCAUCACCUGUUUUCACAUAGCCCAUACAAAAAUAUGUGGAAAUAUAUGUAUGAAAUGAUUCCAAGGGAAAAAGAGAACCAGAAGACAGUGAAAAGGCCCAGAGAUGAAAGAUGGAGCAUCAUAUGUAAAGAAUGUCAAGAAGACCAGUCUACCUGGACUUUGGAGUGAGGAAGGGUGAAUAAAUGUAACACAGAAUUGGAAAGGUAGGUUGAG
This 685-nucleotide long non-coding RNA is filed under the name Monodelphis domestica (gray short-tailed opossum). Its description in RNAcentral is "lncRNA (ENSMODG00000035747.2)". Lineage: Eukaryota; Metazoa; Chordata; Mammalia; Didelphimorphia; Didelphidae. The record is from RNAcentral.